CGUGUGCUCCACAAGAAGCAUAAUUGUGCUUCCGAAAAAAGGGGAAAGCACAACUGUGCUUCCGUGAGAAUCACAACUGUGCUUUUUGAAAAGGCAAAAACAUAACUGUGUUUCCCUCAAAAAAGUGAGAAGCAGAACUAUGCUUUCGGAUUCAUGUUUUUUUCCUGCUUUUGGUCUUUUUUUUUGUUUUCCUUUUUUCCCCUUUUUUUCGAUUCAGGGUAUUUGUUGAGUGUAUUCAUGAAAAAAAAAAGUUCGUUGAAACCUAUUUACAUGGGAUCUAGUUUUAAAGAUUUCAAACGAGAAAUUGAAUGGCGAAAACAGUUCGUGAUUUGGAUGGACGAUUUAAUAGAUAAAAUAUUUAAAAAAAUCUACAGAAAAGGAUAAAAGAACCGGGCCUUGACACGAGAGAAAGUGUGAAUGACCUUUGUAAGAGGUGUCCCUGAAUUAGUGAUUUGAAGGAACCAACACUUAAGAUGCGAAUAAGAAAACACGCUUCUCCUGUUGCUUGGACUUUAUUUAGGAGAAAAACAUAGCUUUAUAACUUAAUUGUACUCAGGCAAAUCGCCCGCAGCACAAGCAAUCAGACUCCCACAUCACAGAGUGGUUUGGUUCACACAUUUAACUAGUAGUUACUAAGCUCCCAAGAAUUACUCACAUGUGGUGCAUCGCGGGCGGCUACAGCGGCGAUUGGCCCACGCUAUCUUUGCGUCCUUGGGUGUGGGAAGAUUGAUUGGCCCAGGCGCUGAACCAGUUGCCGUGAGAAUAGGUGCAGCUGGCCGCAGAUUUCGGAAGCCAGCGGACACGCACAAGAGGAGUGCCAUCUGCCGCCGGUCGGAGUAUGUGCGUGCCAGGUUCAAGGCCAGCAUGCGCCCCCUCGGCGUCGACCACAUCACCAUCUCCAUCGAGGACAGAGUCUCUUCUUAGCUCCCACCCCUUUCUUGAUUAAGCCCUCCAUCCUGUUAAUUUCAAUACAUGAGAAUCCCUCUGUUUAAUUGGGGUGAUUCCUUGCUAUAUUUGUUGUGGACUCGUGAGAUGAAUAAGCUGCUAUAGAAGGGGAAUGUCAGGUACAUUUGGGUUAUCGGUGACGAGCCCCGACACCAUCAGGCGUGCUCAUGCCGUGCACGCAAUCUCUGCCGUGGAGAUGGACUGGUCUCUGUGGUCUCUCUACAGAUAAUUAGGGAUUGGAAUUGUUCCCUACAACACAAUUGCGCAUGGAUUGUUUGGUGGAAGGGGAGUGGCAUAACAAGUGUGUCUGCUGAAUCAAAUCUGAAAGGCCGUCCACCUUUUUAAGCAGAAAACCUGGAGAAGAACAAGCAACUUUAUUUGAAAAUGGAAGAACUAGCCAAUAAGCACCAAUGCAGCCCUACUCAGCAAGCCAUCUUGGAUUCUGUAGCAAGGGGGUGAUGUUGUUCCAUUGCUAGGUUAAUGCCGUGUCCUUCUCAUUUCACUGAUGUCACAUGGUCGUAAACAUGUGCAAUGAUUUUGCCGAGUUCUCACUUCACAUAACAGGCAAAUAAAUUGAAGAUAGUCUUGCUUGCAUAACAUACAGAGAGAGGUAUUUGAAGUGAACCUAGCUAUCUUUGGCAGACUAAACAUAAUAGGGAAUACCACGGCAAUAUGAAAACCCUCCUUGAGAUGUUGUCCUUUUCUCUAUAGUGUGUGCCAUGGUAAUAAUUUUGAACUAGCAUUACUGCCUUGGAGGCAAAAGGACCUCUUUCUCUGCUUCCAAGUUCCAAGCAAAUACAUCAAUACUGAAGCUCACUUUUCGAGUAGACUAGCAUUGUAUCACUGACAAAUAUGUUGUACUCUGGGACAACUAAGAUGAAGAAUCUACAUUUAAUCUUAUGCUGGCUCUUCUGAUGUAUUUAUCCAUGGUGCUUAUUGAUUGUAGGUGUAACAUAUCUACAUGGAUUAUAUGGCAUUAUAAUUCUAUUUGAUCUUAAGAUUGCUCUUCUGAUGUAUUUAUCCAUGGAGCUUAUUUCUCUUAUGUUGGCUUUUUUUGUCCACUGAAUCUCUUGGAUAUAAACUGCCUGCACAUGCAUAGUGUGAUUUUUUUACUGAUUU
Long non-coding RNA from Aegilops tauschii subsp. strangulata, 2064 nucleotides. RefSeq lists it as uncharacterized. Lineage: Eukaryota; Viridiplantae; Streptophyta; Magnoliopsida; Poales; Poaceae. The record is from RefSeq and is a predicted model, not a curated record.